GAUGAGAACGCAGCGAAAUGCGAUAAGUAAUGUGAAUUGCAGAAUUCAGUGAAUCAUCGAAUCUUUGAACGCACAUUGCGCCCGCCAGUAUUCUGGCGGGCAUGCCUGUUCGAGCGUCAUUUCAACCAUCAAGCCCCCGGCUUGUGUUGGGGACCUGCGGCUGCCCGCAGGCCCUGAAAACCAGUGGCGGGCUCGCUGUCACUCCGAGCGUAGUAGCAUAUAUCUCGCUCAGGGCGUGCUGCGGGUUCCGGCCGUUAAAAGCCUUUUUUUACCCAAGGUUGACCUCGGAUCAGGUAGGAAGACCCGCUGAACUUAAGCAUAUCAAUAAGCGGAGGA
Molecule: unclassified non-coding RNA, 336 nt
Filed under: soil metagenome
Description: partial contains 5.8S ribosomal RNA, internal transcribed spacer 2, and large subunit ribosomal RNA
Rfam family: 5.8S ribosomal RNA (bases 5-119)
Source: RNAcentral